AUAAAAUGUUGGAAUUUCUCAGGCAAGCAUAUAAGAUUAACUUCAGCGAAGUUACGGUGACACCAAGGCCAGGCGGAAUGCCCUAUUUUGACCCCAAUUAUGGAUUUGCUGAGCCACGACCGACAAUUCAACCGCCAAUGACAAAGGAAGAACUAGUCACGAGCGAGAUAGAUAGAAACUCAAGAGACGUUUGCGCCCUUGAUUUAGUUAGGUUCAAGAAGUGUGCAGAACAGGCGACAACUUAUGCGAUAGAUUGUAAUUUCUACCUGGAGAUUUUCAACAGAUGUAAGUUGGCACAGCAGGUGGUGGAGGCGAAGGAAUACGAGAGAGAAAGGAGAUUGUUGAAGAGAAGGGAGAGAAUUCUGAACAAAAUGGCUACACAAGAAUCUGCUUGAUAAUGAACUUUUGCUCUGGCAACAUACAAUAGAUUUAAAAAGACUUUAAUAGAUUAUCUUAAUUCAAGAUUUUGUUUUG
Long non-coding RNA from Symsagittifera roscoffensis, 474 nucleotides. RefSeq lists it as uncharacterized. The record is from RefSeq and is a predicted model, not a curated record. The transcript is spliced from 2 exons. Lineage: Eukaryota; Metazoa; Xenacoelomorpha; Acoela; Convolutidae.